RNAcentral lists this ribosomal RNA (216 nucleotides) under uncultured fungus. RNAcentral's name for it is "partial small subunit ribosomal RNA". The stretch from base 40 to 216 matches the Rfam family "Eukaryotic small subunit ribosomal RNA", at positions 686 to 864 of the family's 1831-position model. Lineage: Eukaryota; Fungi. The record is from RNAcentral.
GGGUCAGCAGGUUGGCCGUGCCAAUGGUAUGCACUGGCCUUGCUGAUUCCUCCCUCUUGAUGAGCCGUAAUGUCAUUAAUUUGGUGUUGCGGGGAAUCAGGACUGUUACUUUGAAAAAAUUAGAGUGUUUAAAGCAGGCUCACGCUUGAAUACAUUAGCAUGGAAUAAUGAAAUAGGACGUUGAUUCCUAUUUUGUUGGUUUCUAGGAUUGACGUA